GGGGAGCCCUAGCACAGGUGCUGCAUGGCCGUCGUCAGCUCGUGCCGUGAGGUGUUGGGUUAAGUCCCGCAACGAGCGCAACCCCCGCCGUUAGUUGCCAGCGGUUCGGCCGGGCACUCUAACGGGACUGCCCGCGAAGGCGGGAGGAAGGAGGGGACGACGUCUGGUCAGCAUGGCCCUUACGGCCUGGGCGACACACGUGCUACAAUGCCCACUACAAAGCGAUGCCACCCGGCAACGGGGAGCUAAUCGCAAAAAGGUGGGCCCAGUUCGGAUUGGGGUCUGCAACCCGACCCCAUGAAGCCGGAAUCGCUAGUAAUCGCGGAUCAGCCAUGCCGCGGUGAAUACGUUCCCGGGCCUU
This 361-nucleotide ribosomal RNA is filed under the name uncultured Thermus sp. RNAcentral's name for it is "bacterial SSU rRNA". It matches the Rfam family "Bacterial small subunit ribosomal RNA", at positions 1021 to 1382 of the family's 1533-position model. Lineage: Bacteria; Thermotogati; Deinococcota; Deinococci; Thermales; Thermaceae. The record is from RNAcentral.